UGCCCCACCGAUAAAUGAGCCGCACCUAACAUUACACGUCACAGAAUCCCCACCGUCAACACAAUCAAUCUCAGCCGUCCGAUCCCAGAAUUCCAUUAUAAAAGAAACCUUAGGGUUCUCUAUUUUCUCUCAUUCAGCGCCUCUUCUUCUCAGCCUUAUCUUCAUAAACUCUUUUGCCAUACCUACUCUCUGCAAUUUCAGAUCUAUUCUUUUCCUUACCUCCGAUGCUUCUUUCGUCACCGGAUCGGGAUGGAUCUGAUCAAGAUCUACACGUCCAUGGUAGUUUCGGCCUGGUUCGAUCAACUUCAUGUUGGGAUUAUGCUCCGGUUAGGUUCGGUCUUACGUUAUUAGCGUCUUGAUUUGUUAUCUUCAAUUUAUAUUAUCGGCGUUUUUCAUAGAUCCGAUGCAUGGAGGCAUAGAUCUAUGCAUAGAGGUAGAUAAUCCAUGGAAUGAAAGCUGAUCCAACUAUAGAUUGAUGGAUCCAUUUGCCGAUGCUCCUUCGAUCGUUAUGUAUGGAUGCUUGUAUCGGAUGAUUUGGAUUGUUGAAGAAGCAGUGUUACUUGCUAGGCUGCAUAUGUUGCUGGUCUCAGAUGUAAAAUUAUUGUAUGAUGUGAAGCUUUCAGGUGGAAAUAUGUGGAUGUAGGAGAUUUCGGGAUGAAUGACCUCAAAACGCUGAGUCGUUUGGGGUUGGGAGUCCUGAGUGAUCUUGUCAUCCGACCUUUGCCAUGUCAGGUGCGCUUGCUUGGCAGGUCAAAUAAUUGUUAAUAAAAAAAGUUUUGUUGGUUUCGGGAGAGAUCGCACGGGAGUUGCCCGGGAUCUCUCCCUCGUGUGGUGUGUGCUGUGCUCUCUUUCGUUAUGCCUUUUAUUAUUACCUUUCUCUGUCGCUCCACUCCGUUAUACAUCUCUGCACCAGAGGGAUUCAACAGAGGAUUCGCUUCAACCAAAAGGUAUUAUUUAUCAAUUUACAAUCAAAAGGUUAGAUAUUUCAAUUCAAAUAAUUAAAGAUAAGAUAACAACCGUAUACUUGUUUUUAAAAUUUAAACAGCAUCGUUCCAGGUUCAGUAGUCAACAGAUCGAAUAAUUUGUGUCAUCUUCCGUUAAUUUGAUUUAAAAGGUUGGUAAUGUGAAUAAUGUCAAUCUGAGCUUUUUGGUAAUCUUAUAGGCAGAAGAUGCUAGGUGGAGUUCAUCAGUAGUUACAUUCUAAAAGGUAAAACGGGGUCUUUGUUUUCGAAGGUAUUUUAAUUAUGAAUUAUUUAUUUUAAGCAGUCAUUAAGCCAGUUUUCAUGAAUCAACGAUGGUACUCGAUACUAUUAACGUCGAUCCAUGCCUAUUUAAUAAUUACUUCCUCAUUAUUACUGUCUUAUCUAUAAACGUCGAUUCAUGCUUAUUUAAUAAUUACUUUCUUCCUUAUUACUGCCUUAUCGAAUAAAAUAAUGCUUUAUUGAAAUAGCGCAGCAGUACUAUUGUCAUUUUGUUAAUGUUCAUUAUUGUUUUAUUUCACUUGAGGUGGGUUAAUCUGGUGACAUCUGCUUAUAAAGAUUGAUCACAUGUAGUAUUGCCGGUUUAGUACCAUAUACUUGUAAAUUUGAUAACAUGUAAUAAGUUCAGCUUCGGCAGUCAAUAUUUGUAAUGCAGAAAUAGCUUAUUUUCAAAGCGAAUUAUUUGAGGAUUGUAGCAUUGUUAAGCUUUGCCAAUGAGAUCUUCUGGCCAACAUCGAAGUAUCCGUCUUCAAUUAAGUAAAGACGCUAUAUGGCUUCCGCUGGGGAAAUAUCACGGGGUAGGAGAAUGCGAUUAUGAUGAAAUUAUCUUGUGGAUUGCAGAAGAUUCUGAUCUAUGCUUGUAUUUUUAACGUGAAGAUGAUUUCGGCACUCUACACGGAAAGUAUAUAUUUCUUCCAAUUUAAUUUAGUUUGCAUUCAUUUUCCGAAUUGAGUUGCGAUGUUGUUAUUGUUGAUAAAUCAUGUUGUCAGUAGUACUGUUCAAAAAUUCAAUUAUUAAGUUAUUUUAAUACUACCGUUAUUUUGUUUAUGAAA
Long non-coding RNA from Vigna unguiculata (cowpea), 2032 nucleotides. RefSeq lists it as uncharacterized. Lineage: Eukaryota; Viridiplantae; Streptophyta; Magnoliopsida; Fabales; Fabaceae. The record is from RefSeq and is a predicted model, not a curated record.